GUGAAUCAUCGAAUUUUUGAACGCAAAUUGCACUCUCUUCGGAGAGUAUGCCUGUUUGAGGGUCAGCCUAAAAAAAAAUCGACUUAGUCGCUGUUUCGCGGUGACUUUCGUCGGGAAUUUGGUUAUCUUAAACUUUUGUGAUUUAAGCGGCUUAAAAUUUUCUUUACGAUUCCACGUACUUUUCUAAGAUUCACUUCUUAUACGUUUAAGGUAUCGAUCUUUAUUAGACGUGGCCGUUGCACCGGAUCUCGUCCAUUAAUAUCAC
Molecule: unclassified non-coding RNA, 265 nt
Filed under: Glomus sp.
Lineage: Eukaryota; Fungi; Glomeromycota; Glomeromycetes; Glomerales; Glomeraceae
Description: partial contains 5.8S ribosomal RNA and internal transcribed spacer 2
Rfam family: 5.8S ribosomal RNA (bases 1-65)
Source: RNAcentral